GACGAACGCUGGCGGCGUGCUUAACACAUGCAAGUCGAACGGAAAGGCCCUGCUUUUGUGGGGUGCUCGGGUGGCGAACGGGUGAGUAACACGUGAGUAACCUGCCCUUGACUUUGGGAUAACUUCAGGAAAAUGGGGCUAAUACCAGCUAGGAGCUUCUGCUGCCUGGUGGGGGUUGGAAAGUUUCGGCGGGUGGGGAUGGACUCGCGGCUUAUCAGCUUGUUGGUGGGGUAGUGGCUUACCAAGGCUUUGACGGGUAGCCGGCCUGAGAGGGUGACCGGCGACCUUGGGACUGAGAUACGGCCCAGACUCCUACGGGAGGCAGCAGUGGGGAAUAUUGCACAAUGGGCGGAAGCCUGAUGCAGCAACGCCGCGUGCGGGAUGACGGCCUUCGGGUUGUAAACCGCUUUCGCCUGAGACGAAGCGUGAGUGACGGUAAUGGGUAAAGAAGCACCGGCUAACUACGUG
This 468-nucleotide ribosomal RNA is filed under the name uncultured bacterium. Its description in RNAcentral is "partial 16S ribosomal RNA". It matches the Rfam family "Bacterial small subunit ribosomal RNA", at positions 28 to 507 of the family's 1533-position model. The record is from RNAcentral.